RNAcentral lists this ribosomal RNA (468 nucleotides) under uncultured bacterium. Its description in RNAcentral is "partial 16S ribosomal RNA". It matches the Rfam family "Bacterial small subunit ribosomal RNA", at positions 28 to 507 of the family's 1533-position model. The record is from RNAcentral.
GACGAACGCUGGCGGCGUGCUUAACACAUGCAAGUCGAACGGAAAGGCCCUGCUUUUGUGGGGUGCUCGAGUGGCGAACGGGUGAGUAACACGUGAGUAACCUGCCCUUGACUUUGGGAUAACUUCAGGAAACUGGGGCUAAUACCGGAUAGGAGCUCCUGCUGCAUGGUGGGGGUUGGAAAGUUUCGGCGGUUGGGGAUGGACUCGCGGCUUAUCAGCUUGUUGGUGGGGUAGUGGCUUACCAAGGCUUUGACGGGUAGCCGGCCUGAGAGGGUGACCGGCCACAUUGGGACUGAGAUACGGCCCAGACUCCUACGGGAGGCAGCAGUGGGGAAUAUUGCACAAUGGGCGGAAGCCUGAUGCAGCCACGCCGCGUGCGGUAUGACGGCCUUCGGGUUGUAAACCGCUUUCGCCUGUGACGAAGCGUGAGUGACGGUAAUGGGUAAAGAAGCACCGGCUAACUACGUG